GGACGUAUCAGUACUAGGCCCAGAUUUCUUUCUUUUCCUCUAAACACUAGGAAUAGGGAGAAAAAAAAUGAAAAUGCAAACCCUAGCAAAGUCCAAAAAUUCUUUCUUCAUUAAACAAGGUUUUUGUUCUCUAUUGAUUGAAUUUCUUUUCGGUUAAUUCGUGUGAAAUCAUUACGUUGCAUGUACCUAAUGAUCGAAAUGCAUUAUUUUCUGAGAAUUGAAGCAAUCCUGGUUCGUAUCCUUGCCUUAAAUUGGAAGGUUUAAUUGUAUCUUGAUUCACUUGCCUUGCAUUUCAUUGGAUUGAUGUUAAUUUAAGAGCCUAAAUGUAAUGUAUGUAUACUUGUCAUUGACGAGAUCAAAAGUUUGUCCAUCAAUUCCUUCUGCCGGUGUGUUCCUAUGGAUAUAAUUGAUCAUGAUUGGAGGAAUAAGGACUAAAAUAUUUUACGAGUUGAGUUGAAUGAAUGUAUCCAAUUGAUAAGGUUUGUGGUGUUUUUGUGUGGUUGAAUGAUCAUUUGGGCUUUUGUAUGUUUGUUGACAUUAAUGUCUUCAGACUAAAUCAACUUUGUGAUCAUGGUUUUUUAUUUACCAAAACUUAGCUUUUGAUAUUUUAAUGCAUCCCAUUUGAGAUCCUUUUGCUUCAUUAUCACAUUUGCCUUUUGACAUUCCUCUGCAGCUGUCAAGUAUCACGGUUGCUAAAGAGAAAUAAUCUAGGGAGUUGAAUGGUCGGGGGAGGAGCUUUUCCAAUGAGAAAUAACCACUGAGAGUUUUUGUGAUUUUAACGUGCCUAUUAUUUGUCUUUCAAUGAAAUGAGCUUCAUGGAAGUUGUCUGAUUGAGAGCCAUAGGCUUUAUGAAUGAUAUUCAAAUAUUUCAAGAGGUGUUAGGCUUGAAUACUUUGCUUGAAAAAGCAGGAAGCAGAUGUUGGUGAUUUUUGAUAUCUUGUGUUUUAAAGCAUUUGGAAUUGUUAAUUGGUAUAAAUCAUAAGGGCUAGAGAAUUAGUUUCCUCAAUGCAAAGUCACAUUUUCCUAUAAUUAAGUUGAUCGCCAUGUGGGAUAUUGUGCAACAAAUUGCCAUUUACAU
Molecule: unclassified non-coding RNA, 1078 nt
Filed under: Hevea brasiliensis (rubber tree)
Lineage: Eukaryota; Viridiplantae; Streptophyta; Magnoliopsida; Malpighiales; Euphorbiaceae
Source: RNAcentral